UGCUCAUUUUAAACUGGAUUAUUAGUCUUAUUAUUUUAAUAAUUUCAACUUUUAUUUUAGACUCAGGGGUAUAUGUACAGGUUUGUUACAUGGGUAUAUUGUGUGAUGCUGAGGUUUGAGGUAUGAAUGGUCCUGUCACCCAGGUAGUGAGCAAAGUACCUUAUAGAUAGGUUUUUAGCCCUUCCUCCCUUCGAACUCCAUCCCCUCCAGGAAUCCCCAGCGUCUAUUGUUGCCAUCUUUAUGUCCACAUGUACCCAAUGUUUGGAUCCCACUUAUAAAUGAGAACAUACAGUAUUUGGUUUUCUGUUCCUGCAUUAAUUCACUCAGGAUAAUGGCCUCCAGGUGGAUCCAUGUUAUUGCAAUGGACAUGAUUUUGUUCCUUUUUGUGGCUCUGUAGUAUUUCAUGGUGUAUAUGUACCACGUUUUCUUUAUCAAAUCCACCAUUGAUGGGCACCUAGGUUGAUUCCAUGUCUUUGCCAUUGUGUAUAGUGUUGUGGUUACCAUAUGAGUAUGUGUGUCUUUUUGGUAGAAUGAAUUAUUUUUCUUUGGAUAUAUACUUAGUAAUGGGAUUUCUAGGUUGAAUAGCAGUGCUGUUUUAAGUUCUUUGAGAAAUCUUCAAACUGCUUUCUACAGUGGCCAAAAUAAUCUAUUAAUAUAUUCCCAUCAACAAUGUCUAAGCUUUCCCACUCUCGUCAGCAUAUGUUAUUUUUCGACUUUUUAGUAAUAGCCAUUCUGACUGGUGUGAGAUGGUAUGUAAUUGUGGUUUUGAUUUGCAUUUCUCUGAUGAUUAGUGAUGUAGAGUGUUUUUCAUAUAUUUGUUGGCUGCAUGUAUGUCUUCUUUUCUGAAGUGUCUGUUCAUGUCCUUUGCCUCCUUUUUUUUUUUUUUUUUUUUUGAGACAGAGUUUCGCUCUUGUUGCCCAGGCUGGGGUGCAAUGGCGCGAUCUCGGCUCACCUCAACCUCCGCCUCCUGGGUUCAAGAGAUUCUCCUACCUCAGCUCCUGAGUAGCUGGGAUUACAGGCAUGUGCCAUCACGCCCAGCUAAUUUUUUGUAUUUUUAGUAGAGACAGGGUUUCUCCAUGUUGGUCAGGCUGGUCUCGAACUCCUGAUCUCAGGUGAUCCGCCUGCUUUGGCCUCCCAAAGUGCUAGGAUUACAGGUGUGAGCCACCACACCUGGCUGUCUUUUGCCUACUUUUCAAUGAAGUUAUUUGUUUUCUUUGCUUGUUGAAUUGUUUGAAUUCCCUAUAGACUCUGGAUAUUAGACCUUUGUCAGAUACAUAUUUUGCAAAUACAUUCUCCCAUUCUGUAGGUUGUCUUUUUACUCUGUGUAUAGUUUCUUUUUCUGUGUAGAAGCUCUUUAGUUUAUUUAGGUCCUACUUACCUAUUUUUAUUUUUGUUGCAAUUGCUUUUGAGGACUUAGUUAUAAAUCCUUUUCCAAGUUUGAUGUUCAGAAUGGCAUUUCCUAGGUUUUCUAGGAUUCUUAUAGAUUGAGGUCUUACAUUUAAAUUAUUAAUCCGCUUUGAGUUAAUUUUUGUAUAUGGUGAAAGGUAGGAGUCCAGUUUCAUUCUUUUUUUCUUUAAGAAUGCUGAAAAAUAGGCCCCUAGUCUCUCCUGGCUUAUAAGGUUUUUGUUGAGAAGUCUGCUGUUAACCUGAUAAGGUUCCCUUUGUACAUGAGCUGACCUUUUUCUCUAGCUGCCUUUAAAAUUUUUUCUUUAGUUUUGACCUUGGAAAGUGUCAUGACUAUAUGCCCUGAUGAUGUCUGUUUUGUAUAGUAUCUCACAGGUAUUUUUUGGAUUUCUUGUAUCUGAAUUUCUAUAUCUGUAGCAAGGUUAGGAAAAUUUUUGUGAAUUAUUCCUCAAAUAUAUUUCCAAGUUGUUUACUUUUUCUUCUGUCUCAGGAAUGCCAAUAAUUCAUAGGUUUGGCCACUCUAUAUAAUCACAUAUUUCUUGAAGACUUUGUUCAUUUAAAAAAAAAUUCUUUAAAAAAAUUUUUGUCUGACUGCCUUAGUUUGAAAGAUUGAUCUUCACGCUCUGAAAAUCUUCUUUCUGCUCUGUCUUGUCUAUUGAUAAAGAUUUCAAUUGUAUUUUGAAAUUCCUGAAGUGAAAAUUUCAAUUCUAGAAGCUCAGAUUUGUUUUUAAGAUGUUUAUCUCUUCCUUCACUUCCUGGAUUGCUUUGGAAGUUUCUUUGUUUUGAUUUUAAUCCUUGUCACAAAUCUCAUUGAGCUUCUUUGCAAUCCAUGUUUUGAAUUUUUUAUCUAUCAUUUCUGAGUUUCCAUUUUGGUUAGGGACCAUGUUGGAGAGCUACUGUGAUCCUUUGGCGGUAUCAACAAUAGUCAUAUAUAUAUAUAUAUAUAUUUUUUUUUUUUAAUGAUGCCAGAAUUCUUGCAGUGGCUCCCUCUCAUCUGGAGAUAUGCCUCACACUUUGAAUAUUUGUAAUUAUUUUCUUGUAUAUAGGAUGUUUUUUCCUUCCUUUCUUUCUCUAUAAUAUUAUUAUCAUCAUUUUUUCUUUCUCUUUUUCCCCCUCUAGAGGGUGUGAUUGUAGAGAAUGCCGGAUAGGAUCUUUUGACUUUGCUUCUAUAGCCCUAUGCACUUCUUUUGGCAGGUUUUGUAUUGGGGUCCAUGGUUUGACCUAUAAUCCAGUAGACGGCACCAGUAAGAGCCAGCUGUGGCAAAUAUGGCUGGGUAUAUACUUGAUCCUUGUUUACUAGGGGAAGCUCUCUGUCCUCAGGCAAUGGGCUGUUCUAAGGAGUGCACAGUGGUCUAAGCUCCCUGCUCAGCCCCAGUGUAGGGUACCAAGAUGGGUGGGGCCAGACUGGCCAAGCCUACCUACAGGACCCUCAAUGGCAGGCAGAAGCACCAGUGCUGAGGAAAGUCCACAUGGCCACCAAGUGCCCAGGGGUGUGCCUAGGCAUGGAGUGGGGUAAACCUUUGCUCCGAGUUCUAUGCAUGGUAGUGGGGAGUGGCCUAAACUAAUCCAAGAGAGUGGGCACUCUGGAUGACUGGAGACCUGCGUGGGCGUGGAGUGUGGAGACUGCACUAGAUCUCUGCAUAGAAAGGGUGGGACAUCUCAGGAUAAGAAGUGCUCCAAAUGCCUGAAGAUAUGCCUGGGGGUGGAGUGGAGAGGGCCCUAUUACACCAAGGUCUCUGCUCAGGAAAGGAGGACUCAGGCUGUUAAUCCAGGCUUGUAUUUAUAAAACAGAACUGAACUAGCUGGUAGCAUUUACUCUGGAAUGAAGGAUGGAACUGAUGGGAUUUUCCAAAAGGAGCAGAAAGUCAGUAGGAGAAAAGUUGGAGCUGUACAUCCUCAAUGAGUUGCUACUUCUGUUAUACACAGAAAAUUAAAAGUUGAAUGAAACCCGCAACUAAGAAAUACCAAGUUCAACUAAAUUAAUAAAAUGUGGUGAUGUCCUGUGCUAUUUUGGGAUUCUGCAGCGUCCCAAAAGCAAGAAGACCCUCACCAGGUGUGGUCCCUCAGCCUUGGAUCCUCACCUCCAUAACUGCAGCUUCAAAGAUCACCAACUGUAAGAAACAGGAAGAGACUUUGAAGUAGAUAACUUCUUGUGUUUUUUUCACAUAUUCCCUGGUGGAAUUUUAGUUUUGUAUCAUGCUUUUCCAAGUUUUUCUCCAGAUGUUGUAUAGUUUUUUGUUUUUGUUUUUUUUUUUUUUUUUCCCGGAAAAGUUUAGACAUCUUGUACACAGACAUCAAGAUCUAAAAACGGAGGCGCCAGCUCUAUUUUACAAAAAUAUCUGAUAGUAUCUUAUUGAAGAAUGUUGGAAUCAUUCAAGCGACUGCUUCUAUCCAGUUUCCACGCUGUCUGAAGAUCCUCCUUGAAAUCCCAUGUAACCUUUAGUAUAAUGCCCACGUUAAGAAAAGUGGGUCAGUGAUUAAAGACAUAUUGAAUCAUGUUUCUGGCUUUUUGUGUUUAUAAAUUAUGUAUAUAAUUAUAAAUAUAGUAUUUAUAUAAAAAUAUAAAUGUAUACAUGUUUAUAUUUAUUAUAAAUUAUUAUAAAUAAUCAGUAAAACAUCAGUGGAC
This 4030-nucleotide long non-coding RNA is filed under the name Homo sapiens (human). RNAcentral's name for it is "HSALNT0200139". Lineage: Eukaryota; Metazoa; Chordata; Mammalia; Primates; Hominidae. The record is from RNAcentral.